GACAACAGCCUUAUCACCCUGCAGCCCAAGACUGGUUGCCCACUGAAGCUAAGCAGGGUUGAGCCUGGUCAGUACCUGGAUGGGAGACCUCCUGGGAAAACUAGGUUGCUGUUGGAA
This 117-nucleotide ribosomal RNA is filed under the name Sinocyclocheilus grahami. Lineage: Eukaryota; Metazoa; Chordata; Actinopteri; Cypriniformes; Cyprinidae. The record is from RNAcentral.